RNAcentral lists this ribosomal RNA (325 nucleotides) under uncultured eukaryote. RNAcentral's name for it is "partial 18S ribosomal RNA". It matches the Rfam family "Eukaryotic small subunit ribosomal RNA", at positions 1470 to 1796 of the family's 1831-position model. The record is from RNAcentral.
CCCUUAGAUGUUCUGGGCCGCACGCGCGCUACACUGAUGCAUUCAACGAGCCUAUCCUUGACCGACAGGUCCGGGUAAUCUUUGAAUCUGCAUCGUGACGGGGAUAGAUUAUUGCAAUGAUUAAUCUUCAACGAGGAAUGCCUAGUAGGCGCAAGUCAUCAGCUUGCGUCGAUUACGUCCCUGCCCUUUGUACACACCGCCCGUCGCUCCUACCGAUUGGGUGUGCUGGUGAAAUGUUCGGAUCGGCCGUUUGUCGCGGUUUCCGCGUCAUGUGGCUGAGAAGUUCAUUAAACCCUCCCACCUAGAGGAAGGAGAAGUCGUAACA